UGGUUAGUGUAUUGAAUUUAGAUAGGUUUACGGAUUUUAUGUUAAUUAGUGUUGAUUAGGUGGUUAGUGUAAGAAUUUAGAUAGGUUUAUAAAAUUUGUUAAUUACUGUUGAUGUUAAUUUUAAAAUUUAAAUUUUUUUUUUUCCAGACGGUUCGAAAGAACAGACUUACUCCCCAUUACAGAGAGAUGUUCAGUGAGCCUGGUAGUCGUUUAGACCCGUCUUCUUCAGCUCCCGGUUCUUCGGGUCCGGAGACUGUCCCUGAGACUCAGUCUUCUCAGAGAGUCUCUCGGUCGCCUUCUUCUAGUGCACCUCAUGUGCCUCCUCCGAUGGCUCCUCCGACGAUGCCUCCUCCUGUGCCGCCUCCUCCGAUGGCUCCUCCGAUGCCCGCC
Molecule: long non-coding RNA, 390 nt
Filed under: Brassica napus (rape)
Lineage: Eukaryota; Viridiplantae; Streptophyta; Magnoliopsida; Brassicales; Brassicaceae
Description: long non-coding RNA (BNAP_LNC011119)
Source: RNAcentral